This is a long non-coding RNA of Cavia porcellus (domestic guinea pig), 502 nucleotides long. RefSeq lists it as uncharacterized. The transcript has 2 exons. The record is from RefSeq and is a predicted model, not a curated record. Lineage: Eukaryota; Metazoa; Chordata; Mammalia; Rodentia; Caviidae.
AGUCUGGCAGUGGACAACCUUUUCUUUUAUUUUCUCUCCGUACAGCCUGCCCUGGGAUCGCUCCCAGCCGAAGCCUCCUCUGGUCCGCUCCCCGCGGCUCCUUCCGUGCUUCGCUCCGAAGCCUCUACCGGUCCGCUCUCCGCGGCUCCUUCCGUGCUUCGCUCCGAAGCCUCUACCGGUCCGCUCUCCGCGGCUCCUUCCGGGCUUCUACUUCCCCCCAGGGGUGGCACCAGUAUAUAUACGGAUACAGUGUCCAAUCAUAUUAAACCUGCCCUGGGAUCGCUCCCAGCCGAAGCCUCCUCUGGUCCGCUCCCCGCGGCUCCUUCCGUGCUUCGCUCCGAAGCCUCUACCGGUCCGCUCUCCGCGGCUCCUUCCGUGCUUCGCUCCGAAGCCUCUACCGGUCCGCUCUCCGCGGCUCCUUCCGGGCUUCUACUUCCCCCCAGGGGUGGCACCAGUAUAUAUACGGAUACAGUGUCCAAUCAUAUUAAAGUAAGCAAGGCAA